This 454-nucleotide ribosomal RNA is filed under the name uncultured archaeon. RNAcentral describes it as "bacterial SSU rRNA". It matches the Rfam family "Archaeal small subunit ribosomal RNA", at positions 408 to 862 of the family's 1478-position model. The record is from RNAcentral.
UUUUCUUGACUCUUCAAAGGUCUUGGAAUAAGGGGUGGGUAAGGACGGUGCCAGCCGCCGCGGUAAUACCGGCGCCUCAAGUGGUAGUCGCUUUUAUUGGGCCUAAAACGUCCGUAGCCGGUUUGGUACAUUCGUGGGUAAAUCAAGGCGCUCAACGUCUUGAAUUCUGCGAGCACGGCCAGACUUGGGACCGGGUGAGGUGUGGGGUACUCUCAGGGUAGGGGUAAAAUCCUGUCAUCCUGAGAGGACCACCUGUUGCGAAGGCGCCACACUAGAACGGAUCCGACGGUCAGGGACGAAGCCUAGGGGCACGAACCGGAUUAAAUACCCGGGUAGUCCUAGGUGUAAACGCUGUGGACUUGAUGUUGGGAGUGCUCCGAGCACCCUCAGUGUCGAAGCGAAGGUGAUAAGUCCACUGCCUGGGGAGUACGGUCGCAAGGCUGAAACUUAAAGG